UACGUAGGGUGCAAGCGUUGUCCGGAAUUAUUGGGCGUAAAGAGCGUGUAGGCGGCCCCGUUAGUCCGCUGUGAAAGUCCAGGGCUCAACCCUGGGAUGCCGGUGGAUACUGUCGGGCUCGAGUCCGGAAGAGGAGUGUGGAAUUCCUGGUGUAGCGGUGAAAUGCGCAGAUAUCAGGAGGAACACCAAUGGCGAAGGCAGCACUCUGGGACGUGACUGACGCUGAGACGCGAAAGCGUGGGGAGCAAACAGG
This 253-nucleotide ribosomal RNA is filed under the name uncultured bacterium. RNAcentral's name for it is "partial 16S ribosomal RNA". It matches the Rfam family "Bacterial small subunit ribosomal RNA", at positions 524 to 776 of the family's 1533-position model. The record is from RNAcentral.